GCCAGAGUGGUGGAACGGUAGACGCGAAGGACUCAAAAUCCUUUGAGCCGCAAGGCUCGUGUGGGUUCAAGUCCCACCUCUGGCA
This 85-nucleotide transfer RNA is filed under the name Candidatus Berkelbacteria bacterium. Its description in RNAcentral is "tRNA-Leu". It matches the Rfam family "tRNA". From Rfam's summary of the family: Transfer RNA (tRNA) molecules are approximately 80 nucleotides in length. Their secondary structure includes four short double-helical elements and three loops (D, anti-codon, and T loops). Lineage: Bacteria; Candidatus Berkelbacteria. The record is from RNAcentral.